GCUUAGCCCUAAACUUAAAUAAUUAAUUAACAAAAUUAUUCGCCAGAGAACUACUAGCUACUGCUUAAAACUCAAAGGACUUGGCGGUGCUCUAUACCCAUCUAGAGGAGCCUGUUCUAUAAUCGAUAAACCCCGAUAAACCUCACCCCUUUUUGCUAAUACAGCCUAUAUACCGCCAUCGUCAGCCCACCUCAACAGAGAACCAAAGUAAGCAAAACUAUUACCAUAAAAACGUUAGGUCAAGGUGUAGCAUAUAAAGGGGAAAGUAAUGGGCUACAUUUUCUAUCACAGAACAUAACGAAAUACCUCUUGAAAUCUGAGAUAUCGAAGGAGGAUUUAGUAGUAAAUUAAGAAUAGAGAGCUUAAUUGAACCUGGCAACAGAGCGCGC
This 389-nucleotide ribosomal RNA is filed under the name Pseudochirops archeri (green ringtail possum). Its description in RNAcentral is "partial 12S ribosomal RNA". It matches the Rfam family "Bacterial small subunit ribosomal RNA", at positions 794 to 1384 of the family's 1533-position model. The record is from RNAcentral. Lineage: Eukaryota; Metazoa; Chordata; Mammalia; Diprotodontia; Pseudocheiridae.